UUUUCCCUCGUGUUGCUAUAAAUGCUCAAGCUCUCAGAGCUGCAGACAGUGGAGAUUCCCUCGAGAGCUCAUCACCGAAAUAAAUAGCAGAAGAUGGAUCAUCAGAAACUGCCGGAAUCAGAAAAUAAAGAGCAAAGAGGACGAGAUUCAUCUGAAGAAGUAGAGAAACAGAUCCUGACACGAGCUCGACGGGACAGCAUUGAUGACAAGAGACCAAAAUGUGAGUAUCUUAUCCAGUUUUACAUAUACUCUAUGAAAUGUGCAACAAUCAAUCAGUUAUCGGUGAUCAUAACUAAAUUCAGGGCUUAAUUGCAGGAGGCUUGAAAUCAAUCGAAGCGUGAUAUCAUGGACACUAAAUGGUGAAUUAUUGGCAACUGUAAGCAUUCGUGAUUUCACAGAUUCAUGAGAGACUGUAAUAUGACGGUUUUAAAAAUAUAAAUAUGAAAUAUGUAUGAAGUGUAAGGUGUGUUUUCUAGGAUCAUACACAGUUUCAAAGGUCCUUUAAAAAUACAUUUUGGGGAUUGAAAGUGGCUGAUCUUAAUGUUAAAACUAGGGGGAGACCGGAGUCAACUGUAACAUCUCAAAUUACACCAAUUUUAUCUCUCUCUGCAUGCCAGAGGACAAACUUCUGAGUCAUACUUGAUAGAAUUUUUCUGCAAAGACUCAUUUUUGAUUUUUCCUCAUACUGUCUAAACCAUUAAUGUCUAUGAAUUUAAAUGUGUCUUGUUUUGAUGACCAUUCUGUUGUCUAACAUUUGAUAUCUUUGUCUAUCUAGCAGAGCUUGUCACGGGGUGGUUCAGUCACGACUCUAUCAAAGUCCAGCUUAGUAAGGACAUCAGAACACAUUAUUGUUUCCAGUAAUUUAAGAAAAGUGUUUUGUGUUCAGUUUAAAUAUCUAUGUAUACUCUAAAUAUUGUAGUGUGGUAACGUAGUCCAGUAAAGUCUUUUGCCUCUCAAUCUGGAGACCAGGGUUCAUUCUCAUGUUUAUGAAUCAGAAGUUGUCUUAACUUUAAAUACUGCCAUACCGGCGUAAGAUCAACAGAUUUAUUAACAUAUUUACUAUUGUUUUUGGCUUGUAAUAGUAGCAUGGAAACUCAAUAUGGAAAAUAAUAGUUUUUUUUCUAAUAAUGUGAUAAAGUUUUAUUGUGUUCAGAACUAUAGCCUGUUCAAUCAAUAAUGUGACUCUAACAUUGCUUGUAAAAACAUCUGGUGACUGUUAACAAGUAGAACACAGAUACAAGUUACUGACAUAAAAAUUGUAUUAAAAUAUUUCAGAAGGUUUUUGAGUAAUGACGACAUGACCAAAAUUUGUUACGUUUGUCCCCGUCUCUCCUAUCAUUGAUCGUUCUCUGCCUCAAAUUUAUUGAUUUACAGUAAAAAAAUGUAACAUUUAUCCACUAUAUAUGAACUGCAUGAAAACAAUAAUAUAUUUGUGUUUUUAAUUAUUAGUUUCUCGAGAUUCAGUCUGAUGUUUCAAAGAGACACUCACAGAUGAGCCACUGAUGAAGAUGAAGAAAGAAAAGAUGAAGAAGAUGAAGAAGAAAAAGAAGAUGUAUCGUCAGCUGUGAGAAUAAGUGUUUAUGAAAAACAAAGAUGAAUGAAGUGUAUAUAUUUAAAUUGCAGCUUUUGUAAUUUCAUAAAUGCACUAAUCAAUAGUGCAAUAUAGAUUUUUCUUAGAUUUAUCAAGCAGUCAAAGACUAAACUGUUUUUCACUGCAAUGUAAAUUUGCUUCAAGUGUCUUCAAGUUCAGUGUUUGAUCGUGUCUGUAUGUUUACAUAUUUAAAACACUUCUAUAGUUUUGAUUUCAUUUGAUUUUGUAUAUUUUUAAAGAUAUUAAAUAUUUAAUAGUACAGUAUUCAUUAGUGAAUGUACAUUAAUAAAAGUUAACAGAUCAGUUCUUGCACUUUUUAUGGCAAUGAAUGUGUAUGAAAGUAUUUGAUAUUUGUAAAUAUAGCACAUGUUUUUCUGAAUUUGAUAGUUUUAUAGUAAUCACUGAUGUCGUCACUGUAUCUCCGUUACUGUGUGAUUGUAUAGAGUUGUUUAAGAAUUUAUAGACUUGGUCAUUUUGAAGCUACAGAUCUUAAAUAUGAUGAUCCUCUUGUGAAGAAACACCUUCCUAAAAUAUAAACAUCUGUGGUUGUGAAUAAAGAAAUGACAUUAUUUCUCUCUGAAAUCUGAGAUGUUCAACCUCUUACAGACCCUGAACAGCAGUUUGAAAACCUCUGGUUUAAGACACAGAUGUGAUUAUUUCUGUAAGAUGUUCUGAAGUGGUUCAUUUCAAUCAUAAUAAAGAUGCCUAGAAGAAAACAA
This is a long non-coding RNA of Ctenopharyngodon idella (grass carp), 2310 nucleotides long. RefSeq lists it as uncharacterized. The transcript is spliced from 3 exons. The record is from RefSeq and is a predicted model, not a curated record. NCBI's taxonomy places the organism in Eukaryota, Metazoa, Chordata, Actinopteri, Cypriniformes, Xenocyprididae.